GUGCUUGUUUCGGUAGCACAUGUACUAAAACUGUAAUCAUUCAGAGAUCUGUCCAUGGCUCCUGGGUAAGGAUGACAUGCAAACCAAUGAAGCAUCCACUAUUAAA
This is a small nuclear RNA of Fukomys damarensis (Damara mole-rat), 106 nucleotides long. Lineage: Eukaryota; Metazoa; Chordata; Mammalia; Rodentia; Bathyergidae. The record is from Ensembl.